This 73-nucleotide transfer RNA is filed under the name Chloroflexota bacterium. Its description in RNAcentral is "Chloroflexi bacterium tRNA-OTHER". It matches the Rfam family "tRNA". Rfam says of the family: Transfer RNA (tRNA) molecules are approximately 80 nucleotides in length. Their secondary structure includes four short double-helical elements and three loops (D, anti-codon, and T loops). Lineage: Bacteria; Bacillati; Chloroflexota. The record is from RNAcentral.
GCCCCCGUAGCUCAGCUGGAUAGAGCACCCGCAUCAGAGUGGGAGGUCGCGGGUUCGAGUCCCGCCGGGGGCC